CCUACGGGUGGCAGCAGUGGGGAAUAUUGCACAAUGGGGGAAACCCUGAUGCAGCAACGCCGCGUGAAGGAAGAAGGUUUUCGGAUCGUAAACUUCUGUUCUUAGUGAAGAAUGAUGACGCUAGCUCAGGAUCACGCCCCGGCUAACUCUGUGCCAGCAGCCGCGGUAAUACGUAGGUGGCAAGCGUUGUCCGGAAUUACUGGGUGUAAAGGGAGCGCAGGCGGGAAGUUAAGUCAGCUGUGAAAACUCCGGGCUUAACUUGUGGACUGCAGUUGAAACUGGUAUGCUUGAGUGAAGUAGAGGUUGGCGGAAUUCCGAGUGUAGCGGUGAAAUGCGUAGAUAUUCGGAGGAACACCAGUGGCGAAGGCGGCUAACUGGGCUGUAACUGACGCUGAGGCUCGAAAGUGUGGGGAGCAAACAGGAUUAGAUACCCCAGUAGUC
Molecule: ribosomal RNA, 441 nt
Filed under: uncultured bacterium
Lineage: Bacteria
Description: partial 16S ribosomal RNA
Rfam family: Bacterial small subunit ribosomal RNA
Source: RNAcentral